Triticum aestivum (bread wheat) is the source of this 490-nucleotide long non-coding RNA. RefSeq lists it as uncharacterized. The record is from RefSeq and is a predicted model, not a curated record. The transcript has 2 exons. NCBI's taxonomy places the organism in Eukaryota, Viridiplantae, Streptophyta, Magnoliopsida, Poales, Poaceae.
CCUGAAGCAGAGAAAGAGCGACCUUGGAGAUCAACGACAAUGGCGACGACACCACCAGUUGCCUCUCCGCUCUUGGCGUCUCCUGCUGCUCAAAGCACACCUGACCCUGGCCAUUCCAGUGUUGUCGGCCACGCUCAAGGCAUGCCCUCCCCUGGGGCUUCCAGUGGCAGUGGUGCUGCUGCUGCUCAAAGCAACCUUCAAGGCAGUGGCCCUACUUUUGGUAGCCACAAUCCGUUUGGUGGUGGACCUCCCGUCAACCGCUCAUAGCAAAGCUCUUGCUCUGCUCUCCCGUCAAAAAAAAAACAAACAAAGCACUUGCUCUGCUCCUUAGGGACCACCUGAUCAUGUGCUAGUUAAAAUGUGUGGAUGGUAUAUGGGACAACAUUUGAUCCUAGUAUGGUUAAGGGUUUGUUGCACUCUUAUUUAUCAGAGAUUGUAAAGUCAAGAAUGUAUCAGCACAAUUUAUUAUUUACUGUGUUCGUUUGUAUAA